UUGAACGCUGGCGGCAUGCUUUACACAUGCAAGUCGCACGGCAGCGCGGGCUUCGGCCUGGCGGCGAGUGGCGAACGGGUGAGUAAUACAUCGGAACGUGCCCAGUAGUGGGGGAUAGCUCGGCGAAAGCCGGAUUAAUACCGCAUACGACCUGAGGGUGAAAGCGGGGGAUCUUCGGACCUCGCGCUAUUGGAGCGGCCGAUGGCAGAUUAGCUAGUUGGUGGGGUAAAGGCCUACCAAGGCGACGAUCUGUAGCUGGUCUGAGAGGACGACCAGCCACACUGGGACUGAGACACGGCCCAGACUCCUACGGGAGGCAGCAGUGGGGAAUUUUGGACAAAGGGCGAAAGCCUGAUCCAGCAAUGCCGCGUGUGUGAUGAAGGCCUUCGGGUUGUAAAGCACUUUUGGCGGGAACGAAAAGGACUGUGCCAAUACCACGGUUCGAUGACGGUACCCGCAGAAUAAGCACCGGCUAACUACGUG
This 483-nucleotide ribosomal RNA is filed under the name uncultured bacterium. Its description in RNAcentral is "partial 16S ribosomal RNA". It matches the Rfam family "Bacterial small subunit ribosomal RNA", at positions 29 to 507 of the family's 1533-position model. The record is from RNAcentral.